Molecule: ribosomal RNA, 460 nt
Filed under: uncultured bacterium
Lineage: Bacteria
Description: SSU rRNA
Rfam family: Bacterial small subunit ribosomal RNA
Source: RNAcentral
AGAAUCAACGCUGGCGGCGUGCCUAACACAUGCAAGUCGAACGAGAAAGUGGUAGCAAUACCAUGAGUAAAGUGGCGCACGGGUGAGUAACACGUGACUAACCUACCCUUGAGUGGGGGAUAACUGAGGGAAACCUUAGCUAAUACCGCAUAAUACCCACGGGUCAAAGGAGCAAUUCGCUCGAGGAGGGGGUCGCGGCCGAUUAGUUAGUUGGCGGGGUAAUGGCCCACCAAGACGAUGAUCGGUAUCCGGCCUGAGAGGGCGCACGGACACACUGGAACUGAAACACGGUCCAGACUCCUACGGGAGGCAGCAGUGGGGAAUUUUGCGCAAUGGGGGAAACCCUGACGCAGCAACGCCGCGUGGAGGAUGAAGUCCUUCGGGACGUAAACUCCUUUCGAUCGGGACGAUUAUGACGGUACCGGAGAAGAAGCCCCGGCUACUUCGUGCCAGCAGCCGC